GCAUAUCAAUAAGCGCGGAGGAAAAGAAACCAACAGGGAUUGCCUUAGUAACGGCGAGUGAAGCGGCAAAAGCUCAAAUUUGAAAUCUGGCACCUUCGGUGUCCGAGUUGUAAUUUGAAGAAGGUAACUUUGGAGUUGGCUCUUGUCUAUGUUCCUUGGAACAGGACGUCACAGAGGGUGAGAAUCCCGUGCGAUGAGAUGCCCAAUUCUAUGUAAAGUGCUUUCGAAGAGUCGAGUUGUUUGGGAAUA
RNAcentral lists this ribosomal RNA (249 nucleotides) under uncultured Debaryomyces. RNAcentral describes it as "partial 26S ribosomal RNA". It matches the Rfam family "Eukaryotic large subunit ribosomal RNA", at positions 38 to 282 of the family's 3401-position model. Lineage: Eukaryota; Fungi; Ascomycota; Saccharomycetes; Saccharomycetales; Saccharomycetaceae. The record is from RNAcentral.